GACGAACGCUGGCGGCGUGCUUAACACAUGCAAGUCGAACGGAAAGGCCCUGCUUUUGUUGGGUGCUCGAUUGGCGAACGGGUGAGUAACACGUGAGUAACCUGCCCUUGACUUUGGGAUAACUUCAGGAAACUGGGGCUAAUACCGGAUAUGAUCUCCUGCUGCAUGGUGGGGGUUGGAAAGUUUCGGCGGUUGGGGAUGGACUCGCGGCUUAUCAGCUUGUUGGUGGGGUAGUGGCUGACCAAGGCUUUGACGGGUAGCCUGCCUGAGAGGGUGACCGGCCACAUUGGGACUGAGAUACGGACCAGAAUCCUACGGGAGGCAGCAGUGGGGAAUAUUGCACAAUGGGCGGAAGUCUGAUGCAGCAACGCCGCGUACGGGAUGACGGCCUUCGGGUUGUAAACCGCUUUCGACUGUGACGAAGCGUGAGUGACGGUAAUGGGUAAAGAAGCACCGGCUAACUACGUG
This 468-nucleotide ribosomal RNA is filed under the name uncultured bacterium. RNAcentral describes it as "partial 16S ribosomal RNA". It matches the Rfam family "Bacterial small subunit ribosomal RNA", at positions 28 to 507 of the family's 1533-position model. The record is from RNAcentral.